GAUGAACGCUAGCGGCAGGCUUAACACAUGCAAGUCGAACGGCAGCACGGGAGCAAUCCUGGUGGCGAGUGGCGAACGGGUGAGUAAUAUAUCGGAACGUGCCCAGUCGUGGGGGAUAACGUAGCGAAAGCUACGCUAAUACCGCAUACGAUCUAUGGAUGAAAGCGGGGGAUCGCAAGACCUCGCGCGAUUGGAGCGGCCGAUAUCAGAUUAGGUAGUUGGUGAGGUAAAGGCUCACCAAGCCGACGAUCUGUAGCUGGUCUGAGAGGACGACCAGCCACACUGGGACUGAGACACGGCCCAGACUCCUACGGGAGGCAGCAGUGGGGAAUUUUGGACAAUGGGCGCAAGCCUGAUCCAGCAAUGCCGCGUGCAGGAUGAAGGCCUCGGGUUGUAAC
This 398-nucleotide ribosomal RNA is filed under the name uncultured bacterium. Its description in RNAcentral is "bacterial SSU rRNA". It matches the Rfam family "Bacterial small subunit ribosomal RNA", at positions 28 to 429 of the family's 1533-position model. The record is from RNAcentral.